Non-coding RNA from Populus trichocarpa (black cottonwood), 155 nucleotides. The record is from Rfam. Lineage: Eukaryota; Viridiplantae; Streptophyta; Magnoliopsida; Malpighiales; Salicaceae.
UUUAGAACUCAAGAUAUGGGCUGAACAUUGAAUAAUAUCUAGGCUGUAGGACAUAUUUGACUUUUCUGUUGUUGCUACAAUUUGAACUUGAAAACGACCUUUUUGAAUCUUGGACUCUUCAUGAAAGUUUUAGGCUUAUGUCUUAGCUUUCCAUC